RNAcentral lists this ribosomal RNA (253 nucleotides) under uncultured bacterium. Its description in RNAcentral is "partial 16S ribosomal RNA". It matches the Rfam family "Bacterial small subunit ribosomal RNA", at positions 524 to 776 of the family's 1533-position model. The record is from RNAcentral.
UACGUAGGUCGCAAGCGUUGUCCGGAUUUACUGGGCGUAAAGAGCGCGCAGGCGGCUGGUCAAGUCCGAUGUGAAAUCUCCCGGCUCAACUGGGAAACUGCAUCGGAAACUGAUCGGCUUGAAGAUGGGGGAGGGUAUUGGAAUUCCCGGUGUAGUGGUGAAAUGCGUAGAUAUCGGGAGGAACACCAGUGGCGAAGGCGGGUCUCUGGACAGUUCCUGACGCUGAGGCACGAAGGCCAGGGGAGCAAACGGG